AUUUAUCUGUAACAAACACGACUUCUUAAACGCAUAAUAACUGGACAGAUCAUUUCCAUAAUAAUAGUUGAACCGACCCGUAACUAUUGAUCUUCAGACCCCAAACCCCGAACCGUUUGAUUAUUCUUCCCUCCCAAGAAUCGUUUUUGACCUAAAAACUUGAACCAAAAAAACAAAAGGGAAACACCUAAAACCCACUGAAAUCGGAAUUCACCAAAUCAAACCAAAAUCAUCAGUCGACUAUUUUGCAGGGCUUCGAAGAAUGGCCACCGGUGGAGCCGGAUCGUCUCAGAAAAAUGUUAAAAUAAGAUUCUAUCACGGUGGAACUUUUGAGGGGAACCCAAAAUCAUCAUAUCUGAAUGGGAAAGUAGAACUUAUGGAGCAUUAUGAUGUCGAAGAGAUAUGUUAUUGGAGUUUGUUGUCGAUGGUGCAUCAACUCGACUAUGCCUUCAAUGAGGUUAAACGGUUGUAUUUCUUAGAGCCAGGAAAAACUGUAGAGGAUGGUUUGAAGUUGUUGUUUGACGACAAUAGUGUGCUUGAGUUGUCAAAUCAUUUAAAUAAAUUUGGUGAAAUUUCUAUUUAUGUUGACCACAUCGGUGAUGGAAAUGAGAAAUCUAGUGACAUUCCUUUACCUAUAGCUUUCUUUAAGCCGGUUGACAAGUCGUUUGAUGAAGAUGGUAAGAAGGGUAUUAAUGAGAAUGUAGAAGAUGAUCUCAAUAUAGAUGGUAUAAAUUGGUCUAGUGAUGAGGGGGACGAUGAGUUAACUCUAACUCAACUAAAAGAUUUGAAUAGGUUCGGCACAGAGGACGUAGGUAGUUUAGGCCUAAUUGGAAAAGGGGGUACUAAGGAUGUGGGUGCAGGCCCAUCUGAACCACAUGGUGUGGACCAUUGUGGUGCAAGGUCAUCUGGAACACAUUGUAUGACUGAUAAUUAUGCAGUACAAUCCAGAGUUGGUGGUGAUGGCCAAGAUGUUGUACACAGUUCUGGUGAUGAUGGACCCAAGAGUGAUUACAUUGAUUUGGAUGAUCCAGGUAGUUAUGUAACCACAUCUGAUGGAUUGGAUGCUGAAGAUGCCCAAAGGGUACCUUCGGGGGGAUUGUCUUACAAUCCUGGUGUUGGCGAUCAAGGGUUUUUUCUUGGCCAGAUAUUCAGAGAUGCUGCACAGUUUAAGAUGGCUCUUAAUGACCAUUCUUUGAAAAAUCAGUUUUCAUAUUGCUACAAAAAGACUGAAAAAGUUCGGGUGAGAGCAAAAUGUGCCACAAAUGGUUGUCAGUGGGAGAUAUUAGCCUCUCAGCAUGGCAACGACAAUUCAUUUAGGGUUAAGACAUAUUUCUCUCAACAUUCCUGCUUGCCUACCACUCACAAGAAACGAGUGACAUCCAAUGUGAUGCCACAAAAGGGGUGGGGGAGAAAAGGCUUAGAGGGGACAAAGAAGGUGAAAAUGUCCAGGGUUGGAAGAAUAAUGAAGUGUAGCAUUUGCCACAAAGAAGGCCACAUCAGAACCAAAUGCCCCAUGAUGCCAGAUGCACAAUCAUCAAAUUACGUAAACUUGAAGAAUGUUUCAAAUAAAAGGAAGGCUUCUACAUCAACUGCUCCUGCAACCACAUCUACAAAUGAUGAUCAAUCUUCUUCUGAAAGGAUGGUAAAAGUGAAAAAAGCUCGGCCUCAAAGCGCUUCGGGAUUGAAUGCAAGAAAAAAGACAGAGAAUGGUUAACAGUUAGAUCCACCAAUGAGUUGAGCCUUUUUUACGAUCUUUAUGCAGCCUGUCAUGCCGCCAUUUAUGUUCAAACUAGCUGAACCGAAUUUGAAAUUUGAAUAUGCUGUUUUUGGUGGACUGAAUUUGACAUUGGUACAUGCUGUUUACAUGUUUGAACAACCUGAUUUUGUGAACGUUAUUUGGUACAGUACAGACGCUGCAAUGUUUGUGCUCAAGAGCAAAGGGGAGCUAAAUCCGAUAAAGGGAAGGAAAAAGUGGUCGAAUAGCCGUUGAAGCCGUCCGACGACAUCCGAGAUUUUGCUCGUUAGCGAUCGGAUUCGAGAUCAUUAAAGUCGAAGUCAUCUACACUAUCAAAGCCUCCAUUUUGGUAUAAUUUUGGUUGAACUUUGAAAUGGCAUGUAUAGGACUACCCUAUUGUUGAAGGUCAUGUACCUUUCGGUUUUGUGUAAGCUUGGAUAGCCAUGCGAAAAUGGCUUAUAUACGUUUUUAGUAUGAUUCUAUAAUCGUUUGUAUGAUGAUCAUUAUGGGGUAUGGAAUUGUUUGAAAAGAUUAGCCAUUGGAAUGGUUAAUCGUGAUCACACUUUGUGCUAUGUAUGCAAAAAGGGCCAAUUGAAUCGUGGAAAUCAUGAAAUAGGUAAUGGUUACCUUGAAAACA
This is an RNA transcript of Gossypium arboreum, 2372 nucleotides long. RefSeq lists it as uncharacterized. NCBI's taxonomy places the organism in Eukaryota, Viridiplantae, Streptophyta, Magnoliopsida, Malvales, Malvaceae. The record is from RefSeq and is a predicted model, not a curated record. The transcript is spliced from 6 exons.